CGCAAUGGGGGAAACCCUGACGGAGCGACGCCGCGUGGAGGAUGACGUUCUUCGGAAUGUAAACUCCUUUUGCCAGGGAAAAAGUUUAUUGAUUGUACCUGGAGAAUAAGAGGUUGCUAAACUCGUGCCAGCAGCAGCGGUAAUACGAGUGCCUCAAGCGUUAUCCGGAAUCAUUGGGCGUAAAGGGUGUGUAGGCGGUUUUGUUAGUCCUGCGUAAAAUCCCUCGGCUCAACCGAGGACCUGCGUGGGAAACGGCAAAGCUAGAGGACGGAAGAGGUCUCUGGAACUCAUAGUGUAGCGGUGAAAUGCGUUGAUAUUAUGGGGAACACCAAAAGCGAAGGCAAGAGACUGGUCCGCUCCUGACGCUGAAACACGAAAGCGU
This 382-nucleotide ribosomal RNA is filed under the name uncultured organism. Its description in RNAcentral is "bacterial SSU rRNA". It matches the Rfam family "Bacterial small subunit ribosomal RNA", at positions 367 to 762 of the family's 1533-position model. The record is from RNAcentral.